GGGAGCAGAGUGACAGGUGGUGCAUGGUUGUCGUCAGCUCGUGUCGUGAGAUGUUGGGUUAAGUCCCGCAACGAGCGCAACCCUUGAUCUUAGUUGCCAUCAUUAAGUUGGGCACUCUAAGGUGACUGCCGGUGACAAACCGGAGGAAGGUGGGGAUGACGUCAAAUCAUCAUGCCCCUUAUGACCUGGGCUACACACGUGCUACAAUGGACGGUACAAAGAGCUGCAAGACCGCGAGGUGGAGCUAAUCUCAUAAAACCGUUCUCAGUUCGGAUUGUAGGCUGCAACUCGCCUACAUGAAGCUGGAAUCGCUAGUAAUC
Molecule: ribosomal RNA, 320 nt
Filed under: Bacillus thuringiensis
Lineage: Bacteria; Bacillati; Bacillota; Bacilli; Caryophanales; Bacillaceae
Description: bacterial SSU rRNA
Rfam family: Bacterial small subunit ribosomal RNA
Source: RNAcentral